CUUCUUAAGUGCUGAUAAUGC
Molecule: microRNA, 21 nt
Filed under: Arabidopsis thaliana (thale cress)
Lineage: Eukaryota; Viridiplantae; Streptophyta; Magnoliopsida; Brassicales; Brassicaceae
Description: ath-miR868-3p
Gene: ath-miR868-3p
Source: miRBase by way of RNAcentral